GUUUUACUUCAGCAGCACAUGUACUAAAAUUGGAACAAUGCAGAGGUUAGCAUAGCCUCUAUGCAAAGAAGGACAUAUAAAUUCAUGACAUUUUCUGUAUUUUU
This is a small nuclear RNA of Peromyscus californicus insignis, 104 nucleotides long. The record is from RefSeq and is a predicted model, not a curated record. NCBI's taxonomy places the organism in Eukaryota, Metazoa, Chordata, Mammalia, Rodentia, Cricetidae.